GGCUGCUUCUACUUCUUCUUCGUCUUCGUCGUCCUUCGUUCGAGCUUUGGUCGAGGCUUGGACAGAUUUGUUUACAAUCAAAGUUCGUCGUUGAUUCAUCUCCGGUUAGUUGUUUUUGAGUUUUAUUUUUGUCCAUAUUUUUAUUUGAUAUUUUCCGGAUCCAAAAUCGUUAAAGAAUUUAAUUCUUGCUUUGUUCAUGUCUAUCGUUUGAAAUAAUUUUCUAGUUUGUUCAUGUGUUUUGUUGAUUUUAAUUUUCAGAUGCAAAUGGUAAAUUAAUUAAUUUGUUUUCAUGUUUAUUUCAUGUUUGUUUUAUUGUUUAGGUAAGAAUUUGUUAUUUUGAUGUUUGUUAGAUUCAAAUUGAAUUUAAUUGAUUAUUUCUUCAAUUUGUUUCAUGUUGUUAUAUAUUUUCCAUAAAUUAUUAAUGUUGGUUUAAUCAUUUAAUCCGUUAUGUUUGUUGUGUUAAAAUAGAUUCAUUCAUGUUCAUACUUUGUUUGGAUGAUCUUGAAUCCGAAUUUUGUAUAGUUUGAUUUCUUGUUUAUCAUUUAUGAUUAUUUCUUGAAUUUGUCUCAUAAUCUUGUUUAAGUUUAAUAUAGGAAUUGUUUGUUGUAAUGUUGUUAGAGUAGUUGAUUUUAAGUUCAAUAUUAUUGAAUUUAGAAAUCUAAAUAUACUUGUUUGUUGUUGUUGUUGAAUCCGAAAAUAGGAUUGUUUGUUGCUAGAAUAUUGUUCAAUUAAAUUUUAGUUGUUCUUUGUUGUUCAAUUUGUGUUCAUGUGAUUUAUUGUUGAAAUGUUGAAGAAAUCAUGUUCAUGUGAUUUGUUGUUGAAAUGCUGAAGAAAUCAUGUUCAUGAAAUUUGUUGUUUGAACAUUGUUAGAAAUUAAUCAUAUUGUCUAUAUUUUGGUUAAGUUUGAUUAAUUGAUGUGUUAUAGCUGAUGGUUAGUUUGUUAAUUUAUAGUACUUUUGGGGGUAAAAUAGUAAUUUGCAAUAGGGUUGGAGGGGUAGUUUAGGAAUUGUACAUUUUGUAAUUGUUUAUAUGAAGCAUGGGGGACAAAAUGAAAUGGGGUGGGUUGUGAUAUAGUUGUUUAAUAUAAAGGGGGGACAAGACAAAAUUUAGUGGGGGGAAUCUUGUAUUAUUUUAUGUUAGGCAUGAGAGAUAAAAUAUAAUGGGGGGUGUGAUAUAUUUAUUUAAUGUAAUGGGGAUGAGUGAGAAGAUAAUGGGUUGGGUAGAGAGAAAGUAUUGAUUUUAAUUAAUUGAAAGAUUUAUGGGAUGGGUUAUAAGAAGUCUUGAAAUCAGAAUGAACAGAGGAGAUACAGAUACAAGAGAGACAGAUAUAGAGAAAAAAAACACAGAUAAGAGAAACGAAUCUGAGAAGAAAAAUAGAAGAGAGAAAAAAGGGCUGAACAUUUAAGAGAAAGAAAAUUCCGAAAAAUAUUUAAGCUUUCAAAAUUAAAAUAAAAACUAAAAAAUCUUUUGCUUUCUUUCUUUGUUUGAAAUUAGUAUUAAUGGUUGUUGUUUCAUUCAAAGCUUGAAGCUUUUGUUUUUGGGAUUACUGUUCUACUGGUUUGCAAACUCUGUUCCUGGGUUGUUACUGCUGCUGGAUUGUUGUUGCUGUAUUGUUAUUACUACCACUGAUUCUCAUCAUCAUUUUUUUUUGCUUCCAAUAUCAGGUACAUAUCUGUAAAUUCAUGUCAUGAAAAGCUUCAACAUGACAAGUAAAUGAAGUUUGGAAUUAUAAGGAUGUCUUCUACUCAUUUAAAUUUUAUUAGUUUAAGUUUCAGUUUUGUUUUAAUUGGUUAAUAUAGUAUUAUACUUGACAUGAUAAACUGUUAACUAAUUAACCUUCUGGAGUAAUAAAUUCCACGAUAAUCAUAUAUGUUUUGAGGACUAGUGAUGACAUUUACUGUUUGAAUUGUUGAGAUAGGGAACAUGGCAGAAAGUUGACCAUUAAUUAAAUCUUGUGAUAUUGUUAGUUAAGUAAAGAAUAGUACGGAAAUACCCAGAAAUUACAUUACUAGCUUAUUUUGUCAAAUAUCCAAUUUUGUUUAAGACUAGAUGAUGUCAGUCGUACUUUGUUCGUAUAUGGCGUAAUAACGGUUAUGUGUAUAACCCAUAGUUGAAAGGUGAAUUAAUAUAAUCCAUUACUAUUACAAUGCUGGAAUAUUGCGAACAUGUCAUGAUGUAUGUUUACGUUAUAUGUGAUGUCGUCUUAUUAAAUCAAUUGGUAGAUUAGUUCUCUUUCUUAAUAACAAAUGGCUUAGUUAUUUUAGGAACGCGAUCAACUCAUUUCUUUUAAUGUAUGAAAUAAUGUCAAUGAUUUUUUUUUACAAAAUAUAGAGUUAGUGUUUGCAAAUAUUCGCAUAGGCAGAGAAUAAGAAUU
Molecule: long non-coding RNA, 2374 nt
Filed under: Nicotiana tabacum (common tobacco)
Lineage: Eukaryota; Viridiplantae; Streptophyta; Magnoliopsida; Solanales; Solanaceae
Description: long non-coding RNA (NTAB_LNC018647)
Source: RNAcentral